GGAGGGAUACCCAAACUUAAUUAUAUAAGCAAUUCUAAUUAAUAUUUAUUCUGUAAAAUACUAUACUGAAUUUUUGUUUAGUUUUUGUUCUUUCGGAUAGCCAUCAAAGUAAAUACCUGUAUAGUAUUUAUUUAAAAAAACAGAAGUCACUACUGUACAUCACUCUCUCAAAUGCAUGGAUGUUCAAGGGUAAUUGUGUGUUGAGAUGCUGCUGAAGGUUAAUUUUCUUCACUUCUGAUCAAAUAGUAUUUUUGCUUUAUUAAUUUUUGUUGAAAGAUAAAACAGCUUGCCUAUGGAUGUGUGCAGAUGUGUUUUGCAUAUACAUGCAAUGAAGUAGAAUUAAAAUGUAAAGCAAAGCAGUUAAUUCUCUGUAAUGACUUCACCCCUGAUCACAGGAAAGGGAAUGCAUCUUCCUAUGGACAGAGAGCAAGCACUAAAUAAUGAGCACUAAACAAUCACUUUCUUUCAUAUAAAGAAAGAAAUAUUUUGUACCACAGCACAUAUAUUGCAUCCCCCCUUUAGUUUUCUGUAAUCUGCAUAAUUAUCUGAUUACCCCAUAACUGGAAGGACUGGAAUUAAGUGCCUCCUUUUAUGAUCAUUAUGACUGCAAGUUGAAGGAAGAGGAGGAGCUGCAGCAGUCCUAAUUUUACUUAAAAUACUGGACUUAACCUAUGUGAGAACACUGAGGAGCACAAUCCCUUAGAGAAGGGUCACCAUUGAAACAAGUGUAACUGCGUACUGUUUGUUGCUCUAAAGAAUUCGAGAAUUGAAAUGAAGAUUGCCAGGAAGGAAUAAAAGGUGAAUUCUACAAGCAAACUUCAUCUGGAAAAGUGUGCGUGUAUGUGUGUGUUUUGGGAUGCUGGGAAGACUCUUCUCUCCCCUGCCCUCUGAAAAAGUUGUACUUUGAAUCCUGUAUUUCAUUAAUGAUUGUAAAGAAAACAGAAAAACCUCAAAUCAGUUUGAUGUUCAGCAAUAUAAAACCAUAAAUAAGCUAGAUUGAAUGCAUCGUUCUAAUCCAUCCUAACUACAUACUCCUUUGUUCUUCUGUCAAAAGUAUUUUCUUUGAAAGAACCUAGUCAAGUCUGGUCACUCCUUGUUUAAAGUUUUUUUUUUAAUUCAUUCAAGGUUUUUCCAGUGUAUGUGUAAAAUUGUUAGUUUUGUAAUGUGGCUUUUGUUUCACUAGGUUUCAGGGGACUGAUUAAAAUGAUUAUGUUUUUCAGCAUGUUCUCCAACAUGAAGUAGAAUGAUAUAAAGUAAACACUACUGUUAAGGACUUGAAACUCCAAUUCCUUGGAAUAUGUCAGAGGUAAACCUGAAGAAUUCCUUACAUUCAGUCAGACUGAAAAUACUUUGUCAUUUUUACUAAUGCUUAUAAACCUGAGUUUCGUAGGACUGCCUGACCUUUUGAAAUAAGGAUGACAGUUAAGAUCAACUGACAAGUAACUGCUUAUACUGUCUGCAGGACUUAAGAAUCAUCUCAGAGCAUGUGACCUGGAUUCCUUUGGGGUAAAAUGAGACAGGAAGGUGUGCUGCAACCACUACAUUCAACCCAUGUGCUCAGACUAAAGCUAUUCCAAAGUAAACACCCAGAAAUGUGCAUCGGUGCUGAGAGUUUGACAUCAACACAACUUUUGCUCUACAACUGGGCUUCUUUGGGACUAGUCCACUUGCUAAAGCAGACACAAGUAUGUACAAAGACAGCAGAGUCGGCAUACA
Molecule: long non-coding RNA, 1716 nt
Organism: Tyto alba (common barn owl)
Lineage: Eukaryota; Metazoa; Chordata; Aves; Strigiformes; Tytonidae
Exons: 3
Source: RefSeq, a predicted model, not a curated record